GGGUUGUGAGGUUAAGCGACUAAGCGUACACGGUGGAUGCCCUGGCAGUCAGAGGCGAUGAAGGGCGUGCUAAUCUGCGAUAAGCGCCGGUAAGGUGAUAUGAACCGUUAUAACCGGCGAUACCCGAAUGGGGAAACCCAGUGUGACUCGUCACACUAUCAUUAACUGAAUCCAUAGGUUAAUGAGGCGAACCGGGGGAACUGAAACAUCUAAGUACCCCGAGGAAAAGAAAUCAACCGAGAUUCCCCCAGUAGCGGCGAGCGAACGGGGAGGAGCCCAGAGCCUGAAUCAGCAUGUGUGUUAGUGGAAGCGUCUGGAAAGGCGCGCGAUACAGGGUGACAGCCCCGUACACAAAAGCGCAUGUGCUGUGAGCUCGAUGAGUAGGGCGGGACACGUGGUAUCCUGUCUGAAUAUGGGGGGACCAUCCUCCAAGGCUAAAUACUCCUGACUGACCGAUAGUGAACCAGUACCGUGAGGGAAAGGCGAAAAGAACCCCGGCGAGGGGAGUGAAAAAGAACCUGAAACCGUGUACGUACAAGCAGUGGGAGCNNGUGACUGCGUACCUUUUGUAUAAUGGGUCAGCGACUUAUAUUCUGUAGCAAGGUUAACCGAAUAGGGGAGCCGGAGGGAAACCGAGUCUUAAUUGGGCGUUAAGUUGCAGGGUAUAGACCCGAAACCCGGUGAUCUAGCCAUGGGCAGGUUGAAGGUUGGGUAACACUAACUGGAGGACCGAACCGACUAAUGUUGAAAAAUUAGCGGAUGACCUGUGGCUGGGGGUGAAAGGCCAAUCAAACCGGGAGAUAGCUGGUUCUCCCCGAAAGCUAUUUAGGUAGCGCCUCGUGAAUUCAUCUCCGGGGGUAGAGCACUGUUUCGGCUAGGGGGCCAUCCCGGCUUACCAACCCGAUGCAAACUGCGAAUACCGGAGAAUGUUAUCACGGGAGACACACGGCGGGUGCUAACGUCCGUCGUGAAGAGGGAAACAACCCAGACCGCCAGCUAAGGUCCCAAAGUCAUGGUUAAGUGGGAAACGAUGUGGGAAGGCCCAGACAGCCAGGAUGUUGGCUUAGAAGCAGCCAUCAUUUAAAGAAAGCGUAAUAGCUCACUGGUCGAGUCGGCCUGCGCGGAAGAUGUAACGGGGCUAAACCAUGCACCGAAGCUGCGGCAGCGANNGUUGGGUAGGGGAGCGUUCUGUAAGCCUGCGAAGGUGGCCUGUGAGGGUUGCUGGAGGUAUCAGAAGUGCGAAUGCUGACAUAAGUAACGAUAAAGCGGGUGAAAAGCCCGCUCGCCGGAAGACCAAGGGUUCCUGUCCAACGUUAAUCGGGGCAGGGUGAGUCGACCCCUAAGGCGAGGCCGAAAGGCGUAGUCGAUGGGAAACGGGUUAAUAUUCCCGUACUUGGUGUUACUGCGAAGGGGGGACGGAGAAGGCUAUGUUGGCCGGGCGACGGUUGUCCCGGUUUAAGCGUGUAGGUGUGUGUUCCAGGUAAAUCCGGUUCACUUUAACACUGAGGCGUGAUGACGAGGCACUACGGUGCUGAAGCAACAAAUGCCCUGCUUCCAGGAAAAGCCUCUAAGCAUCAGGUAACAUCAAAUCGUACCCCAAACCGACACAGGUGGUCAGGUAGAGAAUACCAAGGCGCUUGAGAGAACUCGGGUGAAGGAACUAGGCAAAAUGGUGCCGUAACUUCGGGAGAAGGCACGCUGACACGUAGGUGAAGUGAUUUACUCAUGGAGCUGAAGUCAGUCGAAGAUACCAGCUGGCUGCAACUGUUUAUUAAAAACACAGCACUGUGCAAACACGAAAGUGGACGUAUACGGUGUGACGCCUGCCCGGUGCCGGAAGGUUAAUUGAUGGGGUCAGCGCAAGCGAAGCUCCUGAUCGAAGCCCCGGUAAACGGCGGCCGUAACUAUAACGGUCCUAAGGUAGCGAAAUUCCUUGUCGGGUAAGUUCCGACCUGCACGAAUGGCGUAAUGAUGGCCAGGCUGUCUCCACCCGAGACUCAGUGAAAUUGAACUCGCUGUGAAGAUGCAGUGUACCCGCGGCAAGACGGAAAGACCCCGUGAACCUUUACUAUAGCUUGACACUGAACAUUGAGCCUUGAUGUGUAGGAUAGGUGGGAGGCUUUGAAGCGUGGACGCCAGUCUGCGUGGAGCCGACCUUGAAAUACCACCCUUUAAUGUUUGAUGUUCUAACGUGGACCCGUGAUCCGGGUUGCGGACAGUGUCUGGUGGGUAGUUUGACUGGGGCGGUCUCCUCCUAAAGAGUAACGGAGGAGCACGAAGGUUGGCUAAUCCUGGUCGGACAUCAGGAGGUUAGUGCAAUGGCAUAAGCCAGCUUGACUGCGAGCGUGACGGCGCGAGCAGGUGCGAAAGCAGGUCAUAGUGAUCCGGUGGUUCUGAAUGGAAGGGCCAUCGCUCAACGGAUAAAAGGUACUCCGGGGAUAACAGGCUGAUACCGCCCAAGAGUUCAUAUCGACGGCGGUGUUUGGCACCUCGAUGUCGGCUCAUCACAUCCUGGGGCUGAAGUAGGUCCCAAGGGUAUGGCUGUUCGCCAUUUAAAGUGGUACGCGAGCUGGGUUUAGAACGUCGUGAGACAGUUCGGUCCCUAUCUGCCGUGGGCGCUGGAGAACUGAGGGGGGCUGCUCCUAGUACGAGAGGACCGGAGUGGACGCAUCACUGGUGUUCGGGUUGUCAUGCCAAUGGCACUGCCCGGUAGCUAAAUGCGGAAGAGAUAAGUGCUGAAAGCAUCUAAGCACGAAACUUGCCCCGAGAUGAGUUCUCCCUGAGACUU
This 2788-nucleotide ribosomal RNA is filed under the name Salmonella enterica subsp. enterica serovar Infantis str. CVM 818. Its description in RNAcentral is "bacterial LSU rRNA". It matches the Rfam family "Bacterial large subunit ribosomal RNA". The record is from RNAcentral. Lineage: Bacteria; Pseudomonadati; Pseudomonadota; Gammaproteobacteria; Enterobacterales; Enterobacteriaceae.